Non-coding RNA from Pristionchus pacificus, 61 nucleotides. Lineage: Eukaryota; Metazoa; Nematoda; Chromadorea; Rhabditida; Neodiplogasteridae. The record is from Rfam.
UCUUCAUUCUACGUGCUCUCUCGUCACUCUGACCGGUGAGAGAGUAUGAGGAAUGAAGAGA